GGGAAACGGGUUAAUAUUCCCGUACUUGGUGUUACUGCGAAGGGGGGACGGAGAAGGCUAUGUUGGCCGGGCGACGGUUGUCCCGGUUUAAGCGUGUAGGUGUGUGUUCCAGGUAAAUCCGGUUCACUUUAACACUGAGGCGUGACGACGAGGCACUACGGUGCUGAAGCAACAAAUGCCCUGCUUCCAGGAAAAGCCUCUAAGCAUCAGGUAACAUCAAAUCGUACCCCAAACCGACACAGGUGGUCAGGUAGAGAAUACCAAGGCGCUUGAGAGAACUCGGGUGAAGGAACUAGGCAAAAUGGUGCCGUAACUUCGGGAGAAGGCACGCUGACAUGUAGGUGAAGUGAUUUACUCAUGGAGCUGAAGUCAGUCGAAGAUACCAGCUGGCUGCAACUGUUUAUUAAAAACACAGCACUGUGCAAACACGAAAGUGGACGUAUACGGUGUGACGCCUGCCCGGUGCCGGAAGGUUAAUUGAUGGGGUCAGCGCAAGCGAAGCUCCUGAUCGAAGCCCCGGUAAACGGCGGCCGUAACUAUAACGGUCCUAAGGUAGCGAAAUUCCUUGUCGGGUAAGUUCCGACCUGCACGAAUGGCGUAAUGAUGGCCAGGCUGUCUCCACCCGAGACUCAGUGAAAUUGAACUCGCUGUGAAGAUGCAGUGUACCCGCGGCAAGACGGAAAGACCCCGUGAACCUUUACUAUAGCUUGACACUGAACAUUGAGCCUUGAUGUGUAGGAUAGGUGGGAGGCUUUGAAGUGUGGACGCCAGUCUGCAUGGAGCCGACCUUGAAAUACCACCCUUUAAUGUUUGAUGUUCUAACGUGGACCCGUUAUCCGGGUUGCGGACAGUGUCUGGUGGGUAGUUUGACUGGGGCGGUCUCCUCCUAAAGAGUAACGGAGGAGCACGAAGGUUGGCUAAUCCUGGUCGGACAUCAGGAGGUUAGUGCAAUGGCAUAAGCCAGCUUGACUGCGAGCGUGACGGCGCGAGCAGGUGCGAAAGCAGGUCAUAGUGAUCCGGUGGUUCUGAAUGGAAGGGCCAUCGCUCAACGGAUAAAAGGUACUCCGGGGAUAACAGGCUGAUACCGCCCAAGAGUUCAUAUCGACGGCGGUGUUUGGCACCUCGAUGUCGGCUCAUCACAUCCUGGGGCUGAAGUAGGUCCCAAGGGUA
Molecule: ribosomal RNA, 1170 nt
Filed under: Salmonella enterica subsp. enterica serovar Tennessee
Lineage: Bacteria; Pseudomonadati; Pseudomonadota; Gammaproteobacteria; Enterobacterales; Enterobacteriaceae
Description: bacterial LSU rRNA
Rfam family: Bacterial large subunit ribosomal RNA
Source: RNAcentral